RNAcentral lists this long non-coding RNA (279 nucleotides) under Panax ginseng (ginseng). Its description in RNAcentral is "long non-coding RNA (PGIN_LNC005864)". The record is from RNAcentral. Lineage: Eukaryota; Viridiplantae; Streptophyta; Magnoliopsida; Apiales; Araliaceae.
AUAACUUAAGGAAGGUAAGAUAACAUUGUUUAAACUUUGUUAAACCUUAAGGAAUGUAAAGGUUGAGAUAGCCUAGUCAAAAUAUAAUGCAAGUACAAUGAUAAACCGGAACGAAUAGUAACUGAAUCUAAUACACAAUUAGAUUGAAAUGAAGGGUAUGAUAUAGUCAUAUACAUACUUGAUUAUAUGUGACCUAAUGUAAGGCCUUAUGUGAUCAUGUAUUGUAGAGACUUGAACGACUUGAACAUAAAGUUAAUUUACCGUAGCAGACGCUAAAGG